RNAcentral lists this ribosomal RNA (569 nucleotides) under uncultured fungus. RNAcentral's name for it is "eukaryotic LSU rRNA". It matches the Rfam family "Eukaryotic large subunit ribosomal RNA", at positions 62 to 648 of the family's 3401-position model. Lineage: Eukaryota; Fungi. The record is from RNAcentral.
AAACCAACAGGGAUUGCCUCAGUAACGGCGAGUGAAGCGGCAACAGCUCAAAUUUGAAAUCUGGCCUCUUGGGGUCCGAGUUGUAAUUUGUAGAGGAUGUUUUGGGUACCGCUCCGGUUUAAAUUUCUUGGAACAGAAUGUCAAAGAGGGUGAGAAUCCCGUCUUGGAUCGGUGUAGGGCCUGUGUAAAACUCCUUCGACGAGUCGAGUUGUUUGGGAAUGCAGCUCAAAAUGGGUGGUAAAUUUCAUCUAAAGCUAAAUAUUGGCCAGAGACCGAUAGCGCACAAGUAGAGUGAUCGAAAGAUGAAAAGCACUUUGAAAAGAGAGUUAAACAGUAUGUGAAAUUGUUGAAAGGGAAGCGCUUGCAACCAGACUUGAGCGCGGCGGUUCCCCUGACCUUUUGGUCAGGUUACUCCGUCGUGUCCAGGCCAACAUCGGUUCGGAGGGUCGGUUAAAGGCCUUGGGAAUGUAUCUACUCACGGGUAGACUUAUAGACCAGGGUGUCAUGCGACCUCUCGGGACCGAGGAACGCGCUUCGGCUCGGAUGUUGGCGUAAUGGUUGUCAGCGAC